This 793-nucleotide ribosomal RNA is filed under the name uncultured Chloroflexota bacterium. Its description in RNAcentral is "bacterial SSU rRNA". It matches the Rfam family "Bacterial small subunit ribosomal RNA", at positions 14 to 811 of the family's 1533-position model. Lineage: Bacteria; Bacillati; Chloroflexota. The record is from RNAcentral.
UGAUCCUGGCUCAGGAUGAACGUUGGCGGUGUGCCUAAUACAUGCAAGUCGAACGGUGGUUAUUUUGUAGUAAUACGAAGUGAUCAUAGUGGCGAACGGGUGAGUAACGCGUUGGUGAUCUGCCUCGAAGUGUGGAAUAACGUUCCGAAAGGAACGCUAAUACCGCAUGUGCUCUCGAUUUUUAGAAAGUUGAGAGUAAAGGAUUUAUUCGCUUCGAGAGGAGCCUGCGUCCCAUCAGCUAGUUGGUAGGGUAAUAGCCUACCAAGGCUUUGACGGGUAGGGGACCUGAGAGGGUGGCCCCCCACAAUGGAACUGAAACACGGUCCAUACACCUACGGGUGGCAGCAGUAGGGAAUAUUAGAAAUGGACGAAAGUCUGAUCUAGCGACACCGCGUGUGCGAUGAAGGCCUUCGGGUUGUAAAGCACUUUUUGGAAGGAAUAGGAAGGAAGGUACUUCCAGAAUAAGUCUCGGCUAACUACGUGCCAGCAGCCGCGGUAACACGUAGGAGGCAAACGUUAUCCGGAUUUACUGGGCGUAAAGCGCGUGUAGGUGGUUCUGUAAGUAGGGCGUGAAAGCUCCCGGCUCAACUGGGAGAGGCCGUUCUAAACUGCAGAGCUAGAGGAUGGUAGAGGGGAGGUGGUAAUUCCAGGUGUAGCGGUGGAAUGCGCAGAUAUCUGGAGGAACACCAGUGGCGAAAGCGGCCUCCUGGGACCAUUCCUGACACUCAGGACGCGAAAGCUAGGGGUAGCAAACGGGGAUUAGAGACCCCGGUAGUCCUAGCCCUAAACGAUG